Molecule: ribosomal RNA, 1238 nt
Filed under: metagenome
Description: bacterial LSU rRNA
Rfam family: Bacterial large subunit ribosomal RNA
Source: RNAcentral
UGAGUACGAGAUGCUACGGCGUCGAAGCAGUGUAUGUCAUACUUCCAAGAAAAGCUCGCACUGUCAUAAACAAAUAAUGCCUGUACCAUAACCGACACAGGUGGGUAGGUAGAGUAUACUAAGGGGCGCGAGAUAACUCUCUCUAAGGAACUCGGCAAAAUGACUCCGUAACUUCGGGAGAAGGAGUGCCUUUUUUAAGGUUGCAAUAACCAGAUCCAAGCAACUGUUUAUCAAAAACACAGGUCUCCGCAAAGUCGUAAGACGAUGUAUGGGGGCUGACGCCUGCCCAGUGCCAGAAGGUUAAAGAAGUUGGUUAGUUUCGACGAAGCUGAUGACUGAAGCCCUGGUGAACGGCGGCCGUAACAAUAACGGUCCUAAGGUAGCGAAAUUCCUUGUCGGGUAAGUUCCGACCCGCACGAAAGGCGUAAUGAUUUGGAUACUGUCUCAGAGAGGGGCUCGGUGAAAUAGACUUGUCUGUGAAGAUGCGGACUACCUGCACCUGGACAGAAAGACCCUAUGAAGCUUUACUGUAACUUGAAAUUGAAAUUGGACUUUAUUUGCGCAGCAUAGGUGGGAGGCGUUGAAGAUAUUCUUGCGGGAAAAUUGGAGCCAUCAGUGAGAUACCACUCUUGUAAUGUUAGAUUUCUAACUUUGUAUCAUUAUCUGGUCAAAGAACAGUUUCAGGCGGGCAGUUUGACUGGGGCGGUCGCCUCCCAAACGGUAACGGAGGCGCACAAAGGUUUCCUCUGAACGGGUAGAAAUCGUAUCUAGAGUGUAAAGGCAUAAGGAAGCUUGACUGUGAGACCUACAAGUCGAGCAGGGACGAAAGUCGGUCUUAGUGAUCUGACGGUGCUGAGUGGAAAGGCCGUCACUCAACGGAUAAAAGUUACUCUAGGAUAACAGGCUGAUCUCCCCCAAGAGCUCACAUCGACGGGGAGGUUUGGCACCUCGAUGUCGGCUCAUCGCAUCCUGGGGCGGUAGUACGUCCCAAGGGUUGGGCUGUUCGCCCAUGAAAGCGGUACGCGAGCUGGGUUCAGAACGUCGUGAGACAGUUCGGUCCAUAUCCGGUGUAGGCGUUAGAAUAUUGAGAGGAGCCUUCUUUAGUACGAGAGGACCGAGAAGGACAUACCUAUGGUGUACCAGUUAUCGUGCCAACGGUAAACGCUGGGUAGCUAUGUAUGGAGUGGAUAACCGCUGAAAGCAUCUAAGUGGGAAGCCCACCUCAAGAUAAGUAUUCU